CCAACCCUAACCCCCAAUCCUAACCCCAACCCUAACCCCCAAUCCUAACCCCAAACCCUAACCCCAAACAAAAUGGUGGUGUUCCGGUGGUGUUCCGGUAGUCAGUGUUUUACUACAUGCCAGCUUUAUGUCCCGGUCAAACGAGAACAAGAGGACUGGGUAAUUUGACUAAACAAGUUCAGAGUUGGUGUCAAGUUCAGAGUUCAGUUGUAACCCUCAUCAUGCAUCAACUCUCAUUUACUCUUACUCUCGUUUUAUCGAUGCUUUAUACUAACACCCUGUCGUUCAAGUUUUUUUUCAAAAGGACAGUGUUUCAUCGGAGCAUGUUUGCUUGUGAUGUCAUUAGUUCGCGUAACGAUAGCAACCCGUUGAGAAUAGAUUUGUUCAGUAUAUUUAUUAACUUCUUCACCCAUGAAGGCGUUUUGAUAUUGUGUUUAUACAAAAAAUAUUUGUUACAUUGUUAAUAUAUUCACAGUUUAUAGAAUUACAGUAACGCG
Non-coding RNA from Paramuricea clavata, 497 nucleotides. The record is from the annotation of a GenBank genome assembly. Lineage: Eukaryota; Metazoa; Cnidaria; Anthozoa; Malacalcyonacea; Plexauridae.